Molecule: ribosomal RNA, 467 nt
Filed under: uncultured bacterium
Lineage: Bacteria
Description: partial 16S ribosomal RNA
Rfam family: Bacterial small subunit ribosomal RNA
Source: RNAcentral
ACGAACGCUGGCGGCGUGCUUAACACAUGCAAGUCGAACGGAAAGGCCCUGCUUUUGUGGGGUGCUCGAGUGGCGAACGGGUGAGUAACACGUGAGUAACCUGCCCUUGACUUUGGGAUAACUUCAGGAAACUGGGGCUAAUACCGGAUAGGAGCUCCUGCUGCAUGGUGGGGGUUGGAAAGUUUCGGCGGUUGGGGAUGGACUCGCGGCUUAUCAGCUUGUUGGUGGGGUAGUGGCUUACCAAGGCUUUGACGGGUAGCCGGCCUGAGAGGGUGACCGGCCACAUUGGGACUGAGACACGGCCCAGACUCCUACGGGAGGCAGCAGUGGGGAAUAUUGCACAAUGGGCGGAAGCCUGAUGCAGCAACGCCGCGUGCGGGAUGACGGCCUUCGGGUUGUAAACCGCUUUCGCCUGUGACGAAGCGUGAGUGACGGUAAUGGGUAAAGAAGCACCGGCUAACUACGUG